UAUUGGUCAAUAGCCUAACGGCUGAACCAGCAACUUGGAGGAAUGUAUAGGGAAAACUGGUAAAAUGUGAUGUACCUAGUAGUAUUAGUAAUAAAUAUAAGAUUAACUAAGUUAAUUAAAAUUCUAAGUAGAUAUAUGAUUAUGACAAUAUCUGCAUAGGUCUUGACCAAGUCACGUGCCAGCAGUCGCGGUAAUACGUGGAAGACAAGUGUUAUUCAUAUUUAUUGGGUUUAAAGGGUACCUAGACAGUUAAUUAAGCAAUUAAUUGUACUGAUUAACUAGAGUUUAAUGUAAGAAGGAUUGAGUACGGUGAGAGUAGAGAUAAAAUUCUUUGAUACCGUUUAGGCACUGGCAAGAGCGAAGGCUACCUUCAAUGUAAAAAACUGACGUUGAAGGACGAAGG
This 403-nucleotide ribosomal RNA is filed under the name Ocellularia sp. RL-2012f. RNAcentral describes it as "SSU rRNA". It matches the Rfam family "Bacterial small subunit ribosomal RNA", at positions 362 to 759 of the family's 1533-position model. Lineage: Eukaryota; Fungi; Ascomycota; Lecanoromycetes; Ostropales; Graphidaceae. The record is from RNAcentral.